Molecule: transfer RNA, 77 nt
Filed under: Nevskiaceae bacterium
Lineage: Bacteria; Pseudomonadati; Pseudomonadota; Gammaproteobacteria; Nevskiales; Nevskiaceae
Also listed under: 1 other name
Description: Sinobacteraceae bacterium tRNA-Val
Rfam family: tRNA
About the family: Transfer RNA (tRNA) molecules are approximately 80 nucleotides in length. Their secondary structure includes four short double-helical elements and three loops (D, anti-codon, and T loops).
Source: RNAcentral
GGGCGCGUAGCUCAGCUGGUUAGAGCACCACCUUGACAUGGUGGGGGUCGUUGGUUCGAGUCCAAUCGCGCCUACCA